RNAcentral lists this ribosomal RNA (468 nucleotides) under uncultured bacterium. RNAcentral's name for it is "partial 16S ribosomal RNA". It matches the Rfam family "Bacterial small subunit ribosomal RNA", at positions 28 to 507 of the family's 1533-position model. The record is from RNAcentral.
GACGAACGCUGGCGGCGUGCUUAACACAUGCCAGUCGAACGGAAAGGCCCUGCUUUUGUGGGGUGCUCGAGUGGCGAACGGGUGAGUAACACGUGAGUAACCUGCCCUUGACUUUGGGAUAACUUCAGGAAACUGGGGCUAAUACCGGAUAGGAGCUCCUGCUGCAUGGUGGGGGUUGGAAAGUUUCGGCGGUUGGGGAUGGACUCGCGGCUUAUCAGCUUGUUGGUGGGGUAGUGGCUUACCAAGGCUUUGACGGGUAGCCGGCCUGAGAGGGUGACCGGCCACAUUGGGACUAAGAUACGGCCCAGACUCCUACGGGAGGCAGCAGUGGGGAAUAUUGCACAAUGGGCGGAAGCCUGAUGCAGCAACGCCGCGUGCGGGACGACGGCCUUCGGGUUGUAAACCGCUUUCGCCUGUGACGAAGCGUGAGUGACGGUAAUGGGUAAAGAAGCACCGGCUAACUACGUG